AUGAUACUCCCUCCGAUCAAUAUUAAUUGUCUCAAAUUUUCUCAAAUAUGGAUGUAUCUAUGCCUAGAAAGCGUCUAGAUACAUUUAAUAUUUUGACAAUUAAUAUGGAUCGGAGGGAGUAUCUA
This is a non-coding RNA of Brachypodium distachyon (stiff brome), 125 nucleotides long. NCBI's taxonomy places the organism in Eukaryota, Viridiplantae, Streptophyta, Magnoliopsida, Poales, Poaceae. The record is from Rfam.